UACGUAGGGUGCAAGCGUUAAUCGGAAUUACUGGGCGUAAAGCGUGCGCAGGCGGUUCGGAAAGAAAGAUGUGAAAUCCCAGAGCUUAACUUUGGAACUGCAUUUUUAACUACCGAGCUAGAGUGUGUCAGAGGGAGGUGGAAUUCCGCGUGUAGCAGUGAAAUGCGUAGAUAUGCGGAGGAACACCGAUGGCGAAGGCAGCCUCCUGGGAUAACACUGACGCUCAUGCACGAAAGCGUGGGGGAGCAAACAGGAUUAGAUACCCUGGUAGUCCACGCCCUAAACGGUGUCAACUAGCUGUUGGGGCCUUCGGGCCUUGGUAGCGCAGCUAACGCGUGAAGUUGACCGCCUGGGGAGUACGGUCGCAAGAUUAAAACUCAA
RNAcentral lists this ribosomal RNA (381 nucleotides) under uncultured bacterium. RNAcentral's name for it is "bacterial SSU rRNA". It matches the Rfam family "Bacterial small subunit ribosomal RNA", at positions 524 to 904 of the family's 1533-position model. The record is from RNAcentral.